UGCCAGCCGCCGCGGUAAUACGGAGGGUGCAAGCGUUGUCCGGAUUUAUUGGGUUUAAAGGGUACGUAGGCGGAUUUUUAAGUCCGUGGUGAAAGCCUACAGCUUAACUGUAGAACUGCCAUGGAUACUGGAAAUCUUGAAUUCAGUUGAGGUAAGCGGAAUUUAUGAUGUAGCGGUGAAAUGCAUAGAUAUCAUAAAGAACACCUAUUGCGAAGGCAGCUUGCUGGACUUGAAUUGACGCUGAGGUACGAAAGCGUGGGGAGCGAACAGGAUUAGAUA
This 279-nucleotide ribosomal RNA is filed under the name uncultured bacterium. RNAcentral describes it as "partial 16S ribosomal RNA". It matches the Rfam family "Bacterial small subunit ribosomal RNA", at positions 506 to 784 of the family's 1533-position model. The record is from RNAcentral.